GACGAACGCUGGCGGCGUGCUUAACACAUGCAAGUCGAACGGAAAGGCCCUGCUUUUGUGGGGUGCUCGAGUGGCGAACGGGUGAGUAACACGUGAGUAACCUGCCCUUGACUUUGGGAUAACUUCAGGAAACUGGGGCUAAUACCGGAUAGGAGCUCCUGCUGCAUGGUGGGGGUUGGAAAGUUUCGGCGGUUGGGGAUGGACUCGCGGCUUAUCAGCUUGUUGGUGGGGUAGUGGCUUACCAAGGCUUUGACGGGUAGCCGGCCUGAGGGGGUGACCGGCCACAUUGGGACUGAGAUACGGCCCAGACUCCUACGGGAGGCAGCAGUGGGGAAUAUUGCACAAUGGGCGGAAGCCUGAUGCAGCAACGCCGCGUGCGGGAUGGCGGCCUUCGGGUUGUAAACCGCCUUCGCCUGUGACGAAGCGUGAGUGACGGUAAUGGGUAAAGAAGCACCGGCUAACUACGUG
Molecule: ribosomal RNA, 468 nt
Filed under: uncultured bacterium
Lineage: Bacteria
Description: partial 16S ribosomal RNA
Rfam family: Bacterial small subunit ribosomal RNA
Source: RNAcentral